This 207-nucleotide ribosomal RNA is filed under the name uncultured bacterium. Its description in RNAcentral is "partial 16S ribosomal RNA". It matches the Rfam family "Bacterial small subunit ribosomal RNA", at positions 568 to 774 of the family's 1533-position model. The record is from RNAcentral.
CUCGUAGGCGGUUCGUCGCGUCCGGUGUGAAAGUCCAUCGCUUAACGGUGGAUCUGCGCUGGGUACGGGCGGGCUGGAGUGCGGUAGGGGAGACUGGAAUUCCCGGUGUAACGGUGGAAUGUGUAGAUAUCGGGAAGAACACCAAUGGCGAAGGCAGGUCUCUGGGCCGUCACUGACGCUGAGGAGCGAAAGCGUGGGGAGCGAACA